Molecule: small nuclear RNA, 90 nt
Filed under: Tilia miqueliana
Lineage: Eukaryota; Viridiplantae; Streptophyta; Magnoliopsida; Malvales; Malvaceae
Source: RNAcentral
UCCCUUCGGGACAUCCGAUAAAAUUGGAACGAUACAGAGAAGAUUAGCAAGGAUGACACGCACAAAUCGAGAAAUGGUCCAAAUUUUUUU